This 443-nucleotide ribosomal RNA is filed under the name uncultured bacterium. RNAcentral's name for it is "partial 16S ribosomal RNA". It matches the Rfam family "Bacterial small subunit ribosomal RNA", at positions 338 to 795 of the family's 1533-position model. The record is from RNAcentral.
CCUACGGGAGGCAGUAGUGGGGAAUAUUGGGCAAUGGGCGCAAGCCUGACCCAGCAACGCCGCGUGAAGGAAGAAGGCUUUCGGGUUGUAAACUUCUUUUAUCAGGGACGAAGCAAGUGACGGUACCUGAUGACUAAGCCACGGCUAACUACGUGCCCGCAGCCGCGGUAAUACGUAGGUGGCAAGCGUUAGCCGGAUUUACUGGGUGUAAAGGGCGUGUAGGCGGGGGUGCAAGUCAGUUGUGAAAACUAUGGGCUCAACCCAUAGCCUGCAUUUGAAACUGUACUUCUUGAGUGGUGGAGAGGUAAUCGGAAUUCCGGGUGUAGCGGUGAAAUGCGUAGAGAUAGGGAGGAACACCAGUGGCGAAGGCGGAUUGCUGGACAGUAACUGACGCUGAGGCGCGAAAGCGUGGGGAGCAAACAGGAUUAGAUACCCGAGUAGUC